UAGGGAAUCUUCCGCAAUGGGCGAAAGCCUGACGGAGCAACGCCGCGUGUGUGAUGAAGGUCUUCGGAUCGUAAAACUCUGUUAUUAGGGAAGAACAAAUGUGUAAGUAACUAUGCACGUCUUGACGGUACCUAAUCAGAAAGCCACGGCUAACUACGUGCCAGCAGCCGCGGUAAUACGUAGGUGGCAAGCGUUAUCCGGAAUUAUUGGGCGUAAAGCGCGCGUAGGCGGUUUUUUAAGUCUGAUGUGAAAGCCCACGGCUCAACCGUGGAGGGUCAUUGGAAACUGGAAAACUCGAGUGCAGAAGAGGAAAGUGGGAUUCCAUGUGUAGCGAUGAAAAGCGAAGAGAUAUGGAGGAACACCAGUGGCGAAGGCGACUUUCUGGUCUGUAACUGACGCUGAUGUGCGAAAGCGUGGGGAUCAAACAGG
Molecule: ribosomal RNA, 429 nt
Filed under: Actinomycetes bacterium
Lineage: Bacteria; Bacillati; Actinomycetota; Actinomycetes
Description: Actinobacteria bacterium partial 16S ribosomal RNA
Rfam family: Bacterial small subunit ribosomal RNA
Source: RNAcentral